AAAUUUGGAUUAAUGCCCCAUGGUAUGUAGAAGCGGCAUCGCUUCUACAUUAAAGGCUACGGUACAAGAUGACUAUGCCUCCCCUUAGUUAGUUGGUGAGGUAACGGCUCACCAAGACGGCGAUGGGUAGGGGCCCUGAGAGGGGGAUCCCCCACACUGGUACUGAGACACGGACCAGACUCCUACGGGAGGCAGCAGUGAGGAAUAUUGGACAAUGGGCGAGAGCCUGAUCCAGCCAUGCCGCGUGCAGGAAGACGGUCCUAUGGAUUGUAAACUGCUUUUAUACGGGAAGAACAAAGGGCACGUGUGCCCCUCUGACGGUACCGUAAGAAUAAGGAUCGGCUAACUCCGUGCCAGCAGCCGCGGUAAUACGGAGGAUCCAAGCGUUAUCCGGAAUCAUUGGGUUUAAAGGGUCCGUAGGCGGGCCAUUAAGUCCGGGGUGAAAGUCUGCAGCUCAACUGUAGAAUUGCCCUUGAUACUGGUGGUCUUGAGUUAUAGUGAAGUAACUAGAAUAUGUAGUGUAGCGGUGAAAUGCAUAGAUAUUACAUAGAAUACCGAUUGCGAAGGCCGGUUACUAACUAUAUACUGACGCUGAUGGACGAAAGCGUGGGGAGCGAACAGGAUUAGAUACCCUGGUAGUCCACGCCGUAAACGAUGGAUACUAGCUGUCCGGAUGCAAAUCUGGGCGGCCAAGCGAAAGUGAUAAGUAUCCCAAC
Molecule: ribosomal RNA, 716 nt
Filed under: Arenibacter sp. SRO_242
Lineage: Bacteria; Pseudomonadati; Bacteroidota; Flavobacteriia; Flavobacteriales; Flavobacteriaceae
Description: bacterial SSU rRNA
Rfam family: Bacterial small subunit ribosomal RNA
Source: RNAcentral